CGGCCGCCACCCCAUCACCCGACAACGAAGGGACCGGGCCCCAAAGCCCCCCACGCCGCGAAGCACACAGCCACACAAACGCAGCCCACAAGGCCAGAACACCAAACAAAACCAACAGCACCCCCUUUACCCAACCCACGCCUUUUUCAAUGAAAUACCAAAGAAACCCCGCCCAUGGCGGCACCCCCCCCCGGCCACCCAAGCACGGCCCCCACCUGCAGGCGGCGCGAGGCCCGGGCUUGGGACACGCAGAAGCUCUUCCCCAGUACACGGAUGGCACAAGCGCGCCCACUGCAGCAGGCCAAAAAAGCGCAGCGCCACCCAGCAGCUUGGCGCCGGCACCAGCGGCGACAAACCGCCCCGACCCACCGACGCCAACGGCACACGACCCUGUCACCACGAAAGGCGGCGCAACACCCCACGGAUAAAGCGAGACUUCCCAGCGCCCACGACGCAAAACAAGUGGCCGAUCCUUUGGAAAUGCCGUGGUGUUGUUCGUGGCUUUGUGAAAAAAAGAAGCAAAACCCCAGAGCACCCAAAAAAGGGUACCCUUUUUAAAGCGACUGCGCCACAACCCAGCCUUUUGGGGCCAACGCCACCAGCCAUGAAAAAAAAAACCACCCCCGGCCCCGCCAGCGGCACCACAACCCCCCGCUUCGAAAAAAACGAAAAGAACACGAGCACUGCGGCGUUUCAGAAAUUCCAUAGAAUCAAGCCCAACGCCAAGACACGCCAGGAGCCGCCAUCCCGAACCCCAGCAAACCAUUUUAAGACAAAAGGCACCGUUUACGACCCAAGCGGCGUUUCUUAAAGAAGCCGCGCAUCCCGAGGCCCACCAAAAGAACAAAAGCGAACACCAAGCACCACAAGGCAAAGGAAGACGCGUUUUGAACGGUUCACCCCGCGGCCCCUCCCCCCGGCAAAAAGCGCCUAGCCCGCAGGCCGCCAUGGUAUUUGCCGAAACGAAAAAGCCCGGUGUGAAAAUAGUCAUUUGUACACCCCACAUCCGCCCCACAAAAAAAGGCAACGGGUAAAAAAGAGACCGCAUUCAUCCUAAACUUGAUGUAUCCCAGCCUUUGCCGGAACAAGCGGGGAAAAUCGCACCGCGAAAACCGAUAAGGAGAAAGCACUUCUCAACAAAAAAAAAAACAAAAUCAUUGCCCCACCAGCCCGAGCAAAAAACCCACAGCGGAACAGGCACCCGAGGGAAACAACGGCAAAACCCGAGACCAAGCACCAAAUAAAAUUGGACCAAGCACCGCGGGACCCGAAAAGUAAAAACCAACACGUAGACGUCAAAGACGCAUUUUUUUCCGCGGCUUUCGGGUUUGUGUAGCGAAACAAAAAUAAAGCGGGCGUAAAGUUUGCUGGCCAUCGGGCGCGGGGCGUUGGGAAAACAUUGGCCUCUCCUUCGAAAAAACCAAAGACAGCCCAGACAUUGUCAUUCCGCACCUUUUGAAAAUAAAAAGCCGCAAAAUUUGGUUCGGAAAUGCCGUUUUGAGGGGCGCGCGCGCCAACCACCGGGCCCGCAAGGUCUUAAAGAAAUGCAAACCAGGCGCCCUGGGCUCCAAGAAAAAGCACCAUUCCUAAUUUUAGUCAUCGCGCCGGCUUUUUUCUGCCAACACACCGCCUCGAUUCUCCAAGGUUAGUAUUUUACGAUAACGAUGUUUUUUUUUUUUCAGGUCACCCAUAACAAUAUAUAGCCGCCAAAGUCGCUUUUCUAAUUGAAGCGCAAAAAAAAAAUGGUCGUUUCCCUUUAAAGUUUUCGAAAGCGUUUGGGCGCCUCUUUUGCUGAAGCUUCGGUCUCCGCGCUGAAAAGGGGCCUCACCCCCGCGCCAGCGCCACGGUAACCCCGGCAACCCCCCCCCACACACACACACCAAAAAAAAUAUGGGCGUGUAAACAGAUUGCGCGAACAGCGGCUGGAUACCCGGAAAAAACCCGCAACCCCGCCGCCCCCGUGACGGCUGUCCUUUCUCCUCGCGCUACGCCGUUUGCCUACCCGCGCGCGGGCUCAUGUUUGGUCACUUAGCGUAAAAAAAUGCUUCCCGGAGAUGCCAAAGUGCUUUUUUUUGCCGUUUUGCCAGCACUUUAUUAUUCCGUAAUUCAUCGUGAACCCCUUUUCUGGAGAGCCUAAGAUGUUGCGCUCCCCCGCAUAUAUAUAUAUAUAUGUUGCCCGCAAUUUUUGUCCGCCGAACUGUUUUUUUUUUUUUUCUGGUGGCCCGGCAAAGUAAAAGAUUAAAAUGCGAAAAAAACCAUCAAAAAAAUUUGAAAAUGCCAACAAGCAUUUUUUUUUAUCUUCGCUGUCAGAAGUCAUGUUAGACUGUUCAUUGUGUUUGUUUUCUCGGGCAGUUAAGGCGCCAUUUCCACCGACGGCGCGCGUAGUUUACCACACCCCUGAAAAAUGCGUUCCGAAAUGUUUUGCAAAGAGUUUUCAG
This 2438-nucleotide unclassified non-coding RNA is filed under the name Leishmania donovani. Its description in RNAcentral is "gene:unknown". The record is from RNAcentral. Lineage: Eukaryota; Euglenozoa; Kinetoplastea; Trypanosomatida; Trypanosomatidae.